AAUGGCAUAGCUGGGUCAUAUGGUGAUUCCAUCCUUAUUUUUAUUUUUAUUUUUUUAGGAAUGGCCAUACUACUUUCCAGAGUGGUUGUACUAGUCUGCAGUCCCACUAACUAU
This 114-nucleotide microRNA precursor is filed under the name Marmota monax (woodchuck). The record is from RNAcentral. Lineage: Eukaryota; Metazoa; Chordata; Mammalia; Rodentia; Sciuridae.